This 1054-nucleotide ribosomal RNA is filed under the name uncultured Lactococcus sp. Its description in RNAcentral is "bacterial SSU rRNA". It matches the Rfam family "Bacterial small subunit ribosomal RNA", at positions 8 to 1048 of the family's 1533-position model. The record is from RNAcentral. Lineage: Bacteria; Bacillati; Bacillota; Bacilli; Lactobacillales; Streptococcaceae.
AGAGUUUGAUCCUGGCUCAGGACGAACGCUGGCGGCGUGCCUAAUACAUGCAAGUUGAACGAUGAUUUCUGGUACUUGUAUCAGAAUGAAGAGUAGCGAACGGGUGAGUGACGCGUGGGUAACCUACCUCUUAGCGGGGGACAACUAUUGGAAACGAUAGCUAAUACCGCAUAACAAUAUUAAACACAUGUUUAAUAUUUGAAAGUACCAAUUGGUACACUAGGAGAUGGACCCGCGUUGUAUUAGCUAGUUGGUAGUGUAAUGGACUACCAAGGCGAUGAUACAUAGCCGACCUGAGAGGGUGAUCGGCCACAUUGGGACUGAGACACGGCCCAAACUCCUACGGGAGGCAGCAGUAGGGAAUCUUCGGCAAUGGACGAAAGUCUGACCGAGCAACGCCGCGUGAGUGAAGAAGGUUUUCGGAUCGUAAAACUCUGUUGUUAGAGAAGAACGUUGUGUAGAGUGGAAAAUUACACAAGUGACGGUAUCUAACCAGAAAGGGACGGCUAACUACGUGCCAGCAGCCGCGGUAAUACGUAGGUCCCGAGCGUUGUCCGGAUUUAUUGGGCGUAAAGCGAGCGCAGGUGGUUUAAUAAGUCUGAUGUAAAAGGCAGUGGCUCAACCAUUGUGUGCAUUGGAGACUGUUAGACUUGAGUGCAGUAGAGGAGAGUGGAAUUCCAUGUGUAGCGGUGAAAUGCGUAGAUAUAUGGAGGAACACCGGUGGCGAAAGCGGCUCUCUGGACUGUAACUGACACUGAGGCUCGAAAGCGUGGGUAGCAAACAGGAUUAGAUACCCUGGUAGUCCACGCCGUAAACGAUGAGUGCUAGUUGUUUGGGGCUAUCCAGCCCUAAGUGACGCAGCAAACGCAUUAAGCACUCCGCCUGGGGAGUACGACCGCAAGGUUGAAACUCAAAGGAAUUGACGGGGGCCCGCACAAGCGGUGGAGCAUGUGGUUUAAUUCGAAGCACGCGAGAUCUUACCAGGUCUUGACAUACCAGUGCUAUUCUUAGAGAUAAGAGUUACUUCGGUACACUGGAUACAGGUGGUGCAUUG